RNAcentral lists this long non-coding RNA (661 nucleotides) under Olea europaea (common olive). RNAcentral describes it as "long non-coding RNA (OEUR_LNC013298)". Lineage: Eukaryota; Viridiplantae; Streptophyta; Magnoliopsida; Lamiales; Oleaceae. The record is from RNAcentral.
GGCAGAGCUGGCGACAGCAACUGAAGUUUACCCUCUACCACGAACAAUACAAGUCUGGAAUACGCUAAUGAACUGGCUCGCCUUCUUUCAGAUCCACGGAGGCACCCUUCAGGUCCUCUCUCCUUCCACCUUUCGACUCCUCAGACACCGUCGUAAUUCAAGGCUUUACCGAUUGCUGAGUUAUCUUAGUUUCAAGAAGAAUCUGAAGAGACUCUACCUCUACCUCUACCUCCCACUGAGUGACAAAUGCUUCGCCCUUUGAGAAGAUGAACAGGAUUUUGAUUUUUUUAAAUUUUAAUUCAAAAUUAACAUUUCACCCGUUUAAAAUUGGUCAAAGUCAAUUUAUUGGGUGAAUUAACGGUUAAACUAACAAAAAUCAUCCAUUUGGACCCCAAGUGCUAAUUUUUGAAAGGUUUGGGAUUGUGGGUUACACAAAAUGAAAGUUAAGGUAAAGUCUGCAAAAAAAGUGAUAGGUUUGGGACCAUUGCUACAAUUAUCACUAGGAGAUAUCAAAAUGCAUAUUUAUAUAGUGAAAUACAAUUAGAGAUGAAGGUGCACUAACCUGAGUUUUCAUCAAAUCCUUCAACUUGAGAAGCUUCUCAUGAAAAUGAUUCAAAGUUGUCUGCUCAUCUUUGUUAAUGUAUUUAUCCUUGGACAAAUC